GAUGAACGCUGGCGGCGUGCCUAAUACAUGCAAGUCGAGCGAACAGAUGAGGCGCUUGCUCCUCUGACGUUAGCGGCGGACGGGUGAGUAACACGUGGAUAACCUACCUAUCAGUCUGGUAUAACUUCGGGACACCGGCGCUAAUCCCGUAUAAUAUAUUGAACCGCAUUGUUCAAUAGUGAAAGACGGUUUUGCUGUCACUUAUAGCUGGAUCCGCGCCGCAUUAGCUGGUUGGUAAGGUAACGGCUUACCAAGGCGACGAUGCGUAGCCGAGCUGAGAGGGUGAUCGGCCACACUGGAACUGAGACACGGUCCAGACUCCUACGGGAGGCAGCAGUAGGGAAUCGUCCGCAAUGGGCGAAAGCCUGACGGAGCAACGCCGCGUGAGUGAUGAAGGUCUUCGGAUCGUAAAACUCUGUUAUUAGGUAAGAACAAAUGUGUAAGUAACUAUGCACGUCUUGACGGUACCGAAUAAGAAAGCCACGGCUAACUACGUG
RNAcentral lists this ribosomal RNA (497 nucleotides) under uncultured bacterium. Its description in RNAcentral is "partial 16S ribosomal RNA". It matches the Rfam family "Bacterial small subunit ribosomal RNA", at positions 28 to 507 of the family's 1533-position model. The record is from RNAcentral.